Ribosomal RNA from Mesocricetus auratus (golden hamster), 123 nucleotides. The record is from Ensembl. Lineage: Eukaryota; Metazoa; Chordata; Mammalia; Rodentia; Cricetidae.
GUCUUCGGCCAUACCACCCUGAACACGCCUGAUCUUGUCUGAUCUUGGAAGCUAAGCAGGGUCUGGGCCUGGUUAGUACUGGUUAGUACUUGGAUGGGAGAAGAGUUAUGAUAGCCACAGACA